CCUACGGGUGGCAGCAGUCGAGAAUCUUUCACAAUGGGCGAAAGCCUGAUGGAGCGACGCCGCGUGGAGGUUAAGGUCUUCGGAUUGUAAACUCCUGUCAUGCGAGAACUAGUAUCGCAAGAGGAAGAGACGGCUAACUCUGUGCCAGCAGCCGCGGUAAUACAGAGGUCUCAAGCGUUGUUCGGAAUUACUGGGCGUAAAGGGUGCGCAGGCCGCGCGGGCAGUCAAAUGUGUAAUCCAGGGGCUCAACCCCUGAACUGCGCUUGAUACUUCCGCGCUCGAGCUUUGGAGAGGAGUCUGGAAUUCUCGGUGUAGCAGUGAAAUGCGUGGAUAUCGAGAAGAACACUUAGGGCGUAGGCAAGACUCUGGACAAUCUGACGCUCAUGCACGAAGGCUAGGGUAGCGAACGGGAUUAGAUACCCUAGUAGUC
Molecule: ribosomal RNA, 430 nt
Filed under: uncultured bacterium
Lineage: Bacteria
Description: partial 16S ribosomal RNA
Rfam family: Bacterial small subunit ribosomal RNA
Source: RNAcentral